RNAcentral lists this ribosomal RNA (447 nucleotides) under uncultured bacterium. RNAcentral describes it as "partial 16S ribosomal RNA". It matches the Rfam family "Bacterial small subunit ribosomal RNA", at positions 329 to 793 of the family's 1533-position model. The record is from RNAcentral.
GGCCAGACUCCUACGGGAGGCAGCAGUGGGGGAUAUUGCACAAUGGGGGGAACCCUGAUGCAGCGACGCCGCGUGGGUGAAGAAGCGCCUCGGCGCGUAAAGCCCCGUCAGCAGGGAAGAAAAUGACGGUACCUGAAGAAGAAGCCCCGGCUAACUACGUGCCAGCAGCCGCGGUAAUACGUAGGGGGCAAGCGUUAUCCGGAUUUACUGGGUGUAAAGGGGGCGCAGACGGCGAUGCAAGCCAGGAGUGAAAGCCCGGGGCCCAACCCCGGGACUGCUCUUGGAACUGCGUGGCUGGAGUGCAGGAGGGGCAGGCGGAAUUCCUGGUGUAGCGGUGAAAUGCGUAGAUAUCAGGAGGAACACCGGUGGCGAAGGCGGCCUGCUGGACUGCAACUGACGUUGAGGCCCGAAAGCGUGGGGAGCAAACAGGAUUAGAUACCCUAGUAA